GGACUCGUAGCGCAGUUGGUUAGCGCGUUGCAUUCACAUUGCAAAGGCCGAAGGUUCGAUCCCUUCCGAGUCCACCA
Molecule: transfer RNA, 77 nt
Filed under: Candidatus Collierbacteria bacterium
Lineage: Bacteria; Candidatus Collieribacteriota
Description: tRNA-Val
Rfam family: tRNA
About the family: Transfer RNA (tRNA) molecules are approximately 80 nucleotides in length. Their secondary structure includes four short double-helical elements and three loops (D, anti-codon, and T loops).
Source: RNAcentral